UACGUAGGGUGCAAGCGUUGUCCGGAAUUAUUGGGCGUAAAGAGCUCGUAGGCGGUUUGUCGCGUCUGCUGUGAAAACUCAGGGCUUAACUCUGAGCUUGCAGUGGGUACGGGCAGACUAGAGUGCGGUAGGGGAGACUGGAAUUCCUGGUGUAGCGGUGAAAUGCGCAGAUAUCAGGAGGAACACCGGUGGCGAAGGCGGGUCUCUGGGCCGAUACUGACGCUGAGACGCGAAAGCGUGGGGAGCAAACAGG
Molecule: ribosomal RNA, 253 nt
Filed under: uncultured bacterium
Lineage: Bacteria
Description: partial 16S ribosomal RNA
Rfam family: Bacterial small subunit ribosomal RNA
Source: RNAcentral